Molecule: ribosomal RNA, 498 nt
Filed under: uncultured bacterium
Lineage: Bacteria
Description: partial 16S ribosomal RNA
Rfam family: Bacterial small subunit ribosomal RNA
Source: RNAcentral
AUUGAACGCUGGCGGCAUGCCUUACACAUGCAAGUCGAACGGUAACAGGUCUUCGGAUGCUGACGAGUGGCGAACGGGUGAGUAAUACAUCGGAACGUGCCUAGUAGUAGGGGAUAACUACUCGAAAGAGUGGCUAACACCGCAUGAGAUCUACGGAUGAAAGCAGGGGAUCGCAAGACCUUGUGCUACUAGAGCGGCCGAUGGCAGAUUAGGUAGUUGGUGGGAUAAAAGCUUACCAAGCCGACGAUCUGUAGCUGGUCUGAGAGGACGAUCAGCCACACUGGGACUGAGACACGGCCCAGACUCCUACGGGAGGCAGCAGUGGGGAAUUUUGGACAACGGGCGAAAGCCUGAUCCAGCAAUGCCGCGUGCAGGAUGAAGGCCUUCGGGUUGUAAACUGCUUUUGUACGGAACGAAAAGCCCCGGGUUAAUACCCUGGGGUCAUGACGGUACCGUAAGAAUAAGCACCGGCUAACUACGUGCCAGCCGCCGCAGUAA